RNAcentral lists this non-coding RNA (45 nucleotides) under Trichobilharzia regenti. Lineage: Eukaryota; Metazoa; Platyhelminthes; Trematoda; Strigeidida; Schistosomatidae. The record is from RNAcentral.
AUCCAGAUGACGAGUCCCAAAUAUGAUGAAAUGCGGAUCCUGGAU